Molecule: long non-coding RNA, 330 nt
Filed under: Vigna radiata
Lineage: Eukaryota; Viridiplantae; Streptophyta; Magnoliopsida; Fabales; Fabaceae
Description: long non-coding RNA (VRAD_LNC011893)
Source: RNAcentral
UUGUCGUCCGCCCCAGGCGGAGUGGGACGUUUUUGUGGUGUUUGAAGUAGUUGCGUGCUUGGUGCUUCUUGCAGUAUCCAAGCUUGAGGAGCGUUUAGUGGUGUAUACUGCACGAAUUUGGGACCCCUCGGCCCUUCCCUGCUUUUCGGCCCCCCGACCAACCAACCUAUCUGUCAGUCUUUCUACCAUCGGAUUUAUCACCUUUGGUCUCCUACAUCUCCUUUCUAUAACUUUGUUUCAUCUCUUCUACUCGAAUCUCAUUGGCCGCCCGCUCUGGCAAUUCCUCCAUGGUUUUGGGCGGCGUACGACAAAUAUUGUCCUUAAAGGGAC